CCCUUAGAUGUUCUGGGCGGCCCGCGCACUACAAUGGCGUGUGCAGCGAGUGCCGAAGUAGAGUUUUCCGAGGUAUUCUUGCAAUGCUCGUUUUGAUGGGGAUAGACCCUUGCAACUGUUGGUUUUGAACGAGGAAUUCCUUGUAAGCAUGGUUUAUCAUCCGACGCUGAAUGCGUCCCUGCCCUUUGUACACACCGCCCGUCGCUCCUACCGAUGAGUCGUCCGGUGAAGUUCGUAGACCUCGUGAUCGCGGAUCACUGGGGGAAGCAAAAUGAACCUCGCGGUUUAGAGGAAGGAGAAGCCGUAACA
RNAcentral lists this ribosomal RNA (309 nucleotides) under uncultured eukaryote. RNAcentral's name for it is "partial 18S ribosomal RNA". It matches the Rfam family "Eukaryotic small subunit ribosomal RNA", at positions 1470 to 1796 of the family's 1831-position model. The record is from RNAcentral.